ACUCACUGAAACAGGAGGCUUCAAAAAGAAGGAGAGACAGGCAGAACACUUUCAGGUUCAUAUCCCGAUCCACGGCCGUUAGUAGCAGGUAAAUCUUAGUGCCUGAAUCACACCAGAUGAACUUCGACUGUCCUCUGCUCUGUGGUUUGUCGGGGAAGCCGUCCGAGCAGAUCAACUGCAGAGAUCCGAUCCCGAUCACACCUGAUGAACUUUGAGAUGUCAGUCCACAUAUCUCCACUCCAGUAUUUAUUUAGCAUGCAGGGUGUCGCCUCUGCUGCAAUGCGGUUGAGCGAGUUUUAAAUCAAAAACACCUUGUUAACCAUGUAAACAGUGUCAGCAGUUUUGGAAUUAUGAUUCAUGUGAUGUUAUUAUUUUUUUUUUUUUUGUCAGAAAAACUAAAGGUGGUUUAUUUUACUUAGGAAGGCAUCCGGACGUGGACGUAGCCUACUCGCAAGUGUUGCUGUUAAAUAGUUAUUCUUUCUCGCUGUAAUUGUUGCUGUCUUUUAACACUUUUUGUCUUACUUUUUAUUUCUUUUUAAAUAAAAGUAGUUCAUAUGUAUGCAGUUAUGUUGCUAACUAGGCUAUAUCUUGUUCAUAUCAUUAACUCUCGAUGUAUAUACUAGCCUACGUCUUAAAAUGAACAUCACUGCUUUAAUUCA
Molecule: long non-coding RNA, 659 nt
Organism: Ctenopharyngodon idella (grass carp)
Lineage: Eukaryota; Metazoa; Chordata; Actinopteri; Cypriniformes; Xenocyprididae
Exons: 2
Source: RefSeq, a predicted model, not a curated record